Molecule: ribosomal RNA, 464 nt
Filed under: uncultured bacterium
Lineage: Bacteria
Description: partial 16S ribosomal RNA
Rfam family: Bacterial small subunit ribosomal RNA
Source: RNAcentral
CCUACGGGAGGCAGCAGUAGGGAAUGUUCGUCAAUGGGCGCAAGCCUGAACGAGCAAUGCCGCGUGAAGGAGGAAGGUCUUCGGAUCGUAAAGUUCUGUUGAAGGGGAAAAAGAGCGGAGAGAGGAAAUGGUCUCCGAUUGAUAUUACCCUUAGAGGAAGUCACGGCUAACUACGGGCCAGCAGCCGCGGUAAUACGUAGGUGGCGAGCGUUAUCCGGAUUGAUUGGGCGAAAAGGGUGGUUAGGCGGUCUGCUAAGUCUGGAGUGAAAGGUACCGGCUCAACCGGUACAGGCUCUGGAAACUGGCGUGCUAGAGGGCAGGAGAGGGCGGUGGAACUCCAUGUGUAGCGGUAAAAUGCGUAGAUAUAUGGAAGAACACCAGUUGCGAAGGCGGCCGCCUGGCCUGUUACUGACGCUGAGGCACGAAAGCGUGGGGAGCAAAUAGGAUUAGAUACCCGAGUAGUC